UAUCUGUGAUGACUACUUAGGACACCUUUGGAACUCUGAUGAAAAUAUAACAAAUGGACUGAGAUGC
Small nucleolar RNA from Periophthalmus magnuspinnatus, 67 nucleotides. RefSeq annotates it as small nucleolar RNA SNORD58. The record is from RefSeq and is a predicted model, not a curated record. The transcript has a single exon. Lineage: Eukaryota; Metazoa; Chordata; Actinopteri; Gobiiformes; Gobiidae.